RNAcentral lists this ribosomal RNA (478 nucleotides) under uncultured bacterium. Its description in RNAcentral is "bacterial SSU rRNA". It matches the Rfam family "Bacterial small subunit ribosomal RNA", at positions 501 to 981 of the family's 1533-position model. The record is from RNAcentral.
CUACGUGCCAGCAGCCGCGGUAAUACGGAAGGUCCAGGCGUUAUCCGGAUUUAUUGGGUUUAAAGGGUGCGUAGGCCGUUUGAUAAGCGUGCUGUGAAAUAUAGUGGCUCAACCUCUAUCGUGCAGCGCGAACUGUCGAACUUGAGUGCGUAGUAGGUAGGCGGAAUUCGUGGUGUAGCGGUGAAAUGCUUAGAUAUCACGCAGAACUCCGAUUGCGAAGGCAGCUUACUAAGGUACAACUGACGCUGAAGCACGAAAGCGUGGGUAUCAAACAGGAUUAGAUACCCUGGUAGUCCACGCAGUAAACGAUGAUAACUGGGCGUAUGCGAUAUACAGUAUGCUCCUAAGCGAAAGCGUUAAGUUAUCCACCUGGGGAGUACGCCGGCAACGGUGAAACUCAAAGGAAUUGACGGGGGCCCGCACAAGCGGAGGAACAUGUGGUUUAAUUCGAUGAUACGCGAGGAACCUUACCCGGGAU